RNAcentral lists this long non-coding RNA (430 nucleotides) under Homo sapiens (human). RNAcentral describes it as "non-protein coding lnc-GALNS-1:1". The record is from RNAcentral. Lineage: Eukaryota; Metazoa; Chordata; Mammalia; Primates; Hominidae.
GCGCUCGGGCUGCCGCUGGCUCUUCGCACGCGGCCAUGGCCGACUCCGAGCUGCAGCUGGUUGAGCAGCGGAUCCGCAGCUUCCCCGACUUCCCCACCCCAGGCGUGGUAUUCAGGCUGAGCUGGAGAUUCAGAAAGACGCCCUGGAGCCAGGACAGAGGGUGGUCGUCGUGGAUGAUCUGCUGGCCACUGGUGUAUGAGUGACCACAGGGCCUCCCAGCCCAACAUCUCCAGCUGGAUCCCAGGGAAAUAUCAGCCUUGGGCAACUGCAGUGACCAGGGGCACCGGCUGCCCACAGGGAACACAUUCCUUUGCUGGGGUUCAGCGCCUCUCCUGGGGCUGGAAGUGCCAAAGCCUGGGGCAAAGCUGUGUUUCAGCCACACUGAACCCAAUUACACACAGCGGGAGAACGCAGUAAACAGCUUUCCCAC